Molecule: ribosomal RNA, 427 nt
Filed under: uncultured bacterium
Lineage: Bacteria
Description: partial 16S ribosomal RNA
Rfam family: Bacterial small subunit ribosomal RNA
Source: RNAcentral
UGGGGAAUUUUGGACAAUGGGCGAAAGCCUGAUCCAGCAAUGCCGCGUGAGUGAAGAAGGCCUUCGGGUUGUAAAGCUCUUUUGUCAGGGAAGAAACGGUGAGGGCUAAUAUCCCUUGCUAAUGACGGUACCUGAAGAAUAAGCACCGGCUAACUACGUGCCAGCAGCCGCGGUAAUACGUAGGGUGCAAGCGUUAAUCGGAAUUACUGGGCGUAAAGCGUGCGCAGGCGGGUUUGUAAGGCUGAUGUGAAAGCCCCGGGCUCAACCUGGGAAUUGCAUUGGAGACUGCAAGGCUAGAAUCUGGCAGAGGGGGGUAGAAUUCCACGUGUAGCAGUGAAAUGCGUAGAUAUGUGGAGGAACACCGAUGGCGAAGGCAGCCCCCUGGGUCAAGAUUGACGCUCAUGCACGAAAGCGUGGGGAGCAAACA